Oncorhynchus tshawytscha (Chinook salmon) is the source of this 635-nucleotide long non-coding RNA. The record is from Ensembl. Lineage: Eukaryota; Metazoa; Chordata; Actinopteri; Salmoniformes; Salmonidae.
UAAAGGGUGUACUGUGACUCUCAGGUUCUAGACUACUGUGAUUGUGUGGUGCUAGUUGACGAACAUAAGACGUACAACUAUUCCUGGGAAAUGUGGGGUGUUGGUGGUAAUCUCCUGUCUACCCGCUCAGAAGCCCCAGAUAGAGACUGUCCCCAUGAGAUGAGAUCUGCUAUCCAUUCCCAUUCAACAUCCAUGAUGCUCUUCAGCCCCUCUCAGCCCCAUUCAGUCCCAGUCAGUUGCCUGCCUUACGGUCCCCUUUGAAAUGACCUUAUCUCUGUCUUCCAGGCUGACCCUGGCUAGAGGGCCUUUUCCACAUUAAACAGAGAAAACCUAUUAUCCUACUGUUACUGGAGACAGUCAGUCUGUCAAUCAAACACAGGCCAUGGACCAUCAUGAGACAGUCUGGUUUGCUAACUGUACUCUCUAAGCCUUUCUCAGUGGUAGCAUGUGACAUGUGUACAUGAGCUGCAUCACCACGGCCAACACGUCUAGCUAGAGAGACGUCUCGUGUGUUUGCGUAGGCAGGUGCCAUAGGCAUCUUGGCAACCGUGAUUUCGUGUCACUGAUCUAGACACAUUACCCCAUGGUGUCAAAGUGGAAUUGUAUUUUCAUAUUUGUUUACAAAUGAAUAAAAA